Molecule: long non-coding RNA, 226 nt
Filed under: Lathyrus oleraceus (garden pea)
Lineage: Eukaryota; Viridiplantae; Streptophyta; Magnoliopsida; Fabales; Fabaceae
Description: Pisum sativum (pea) long non-coding RNA (PSAT_LNC007701)
Source: RNAcentral
AAAGUUUGUUCAUGAGCUGUCAUGCUCGCUAGGCGAGCAGAAUGGGUCGCCUAGCGAGUCCCAAGAAAAGCCACCAGAAUCACCUACGCUCAGAGGAAUUUCUUGAAAUGUCAUGCUCUCUAGGCGAAGCCCACGUGUUUUGAAAAAAAAAUGAAAAAUAAACAAAUAAAUAAAUAAAUAAAUAAAUAAAUAAAAGAAAAAUCUUGGACUUGGACCUCUCUCUUUU